GGGCCUUGUUCACCGAAACUUGGUCUCCCCAUGUUGCUCUCUUUCUCAAAUUCUGGCUGAGUCUCCAUCUGGAGCGCGGAACCCACCAUGCUUGCUAAUUAUGCCUGGGCUUCUAAGAUCUGACCAGGGAGGCCUCAGUGUCUCCUCUCCUUCGGGAGAACGGAAGGACGCCUGCGGCCUACGGACUGUAGCCCGCCAGGCUCCUCUGUCCAUGGAAUCCUCCAGGCAAGAAUACUGAAGUGGGUAGCCAUUCCCUUCUCCAGAGGAUCUUCCUGACCCACUGAUUGACUCCAGGUGUCCAACAUUGUGGGCAGAUUCUUUACCAUCUGAGCCACCAGGGAAGCCCCUUUUAAAGGUCAGCCACGCUCAAUAAAUGCUGACGUGCCCUGGUGGCAUCUGAGCCGGCAACCUUGCACUGAACCUGAACUCCUGGAACAGACUUCUUGAAGCUGGCCGAGGGCUGUCCAGAACUCCGGAACACAUUCUGAAGAGCCCGUCAGUGGUGUGUGGACCCACGGCCUGGCAGUCCCUCAUUUCCAUUCUGCUGCCACCUUGCAAGUGACCCCUCGAUGUUCCAGGUUUUCUCUUGAGAAGCAGCGUGGAACAGCAGGAAGCAAACCAAAUGAAGAUGGGGGAUGGUAACAAUGAAGACUGUGCCCCUCCCUCCCCUGGCCACUGAUGUCCACGUCCUUAUUCCCAGAGCCUGGCUUGGUCAGUCCCCUGCCUCCAGGCAUAAUAUUUCUUCCUCAGCCCCUUCCCCUAUUAUUCUGGCAACAGUUUCGCACUGGUGCCCACCCCUGGGUACCUCAGUGCCCUUGCCCAGCAUUGCCCACAUCUCUGUCCAUACUUCCUUUGAUUAAAAUCCCUUAAGCCA
Long non-coding RNA from Bos taurus (domestic cattle), 874 nucleotides. NCBI's taxonomy places the organism in Eukaryota, Metazoa, Chordata, Mammalia, Artiodactyla, Bovidae. The record is from Ensembl.